UACAGAGGGGGCAAGCGUUGUUCGGAAUUACUGGGCGUAAAGGGCGCGUAGGCGGCCCGCUAAGUCGAACGUGAAAUCCCCGGGCUCAACCCGGGAACUGCGUCCGAUACUGGUGGGCUUGAAUCCGGGAGAGGGAUGCGGAAUUCCAGGUGUAGCGGUGAAAUGCGUAGAUAUCAGGAGGAACACCGGUGGCGAAGGCGGCUACCUGGACAGAGUCUGACGCUGAGGCACGAAAGCUAGGGGAGCAAACAGG
RNAcentral lists this ribosomal RNA (253 nucleotides) under uncultured bacterium. RNAcentral describes it as "partial 16S ribosomal RNA". It matches the Rfam family "Bacterial small subunit ribosomal RNA", at positions 524 to 776 of the family's 1533-position model. The record is from RNAcentral.